Molecule: RNA transcript, 3705 nt
Organism: Panicum virgatum (switchgrass)
Lineage: Eukaryota; Viridiplantae; Streptophyta; Magnoliopsida; Poales; Poaceae
Exons: 10
Source: RefSeq, a predicted model, not a curated record
CACUGCUCCCUUCUCCAACUGAACAGCACAUACCUUGUCGACAUGCCCAAAAAGACCACAGGUGUAGCAAAAAGUCCGGAAGAAAUUCAUAUUCAACCGGACACCGGAGUGUUUUAUCUUGCCCUUCUCCAACCAGCACAGGAACACCACGCAUGAGGGGCUGAGUGAUGUCUAGUUUCACCUUGAUUCUCAGAAAUCUCCCCACCGCCGUUUCAACAUCAUCCAUCUCCAUAGCCUCAUCAAUCCAUACGACUUAUUCAUCAUACCUAGCAGAAGCUUCAUCACUCUCAUCCAAAUCCAUCUCCUCAAUUGAUUUGAACUCAUCAAUCCAUGGUCCCUCCUCCAAAGCCCUCCUCUUUCCCGACUCUUGCAAAAAAAGUGAACAAAAAAUGAUUCUCACCCAAAUCCUUGCACUACACCCCCUUAAUAGGACACCAGAUGGGCGAGCCCGUCAGCGAAUUUCGUGAGGCCAAAAGGCCAAAAUUACUCUAGAAAAUCUAGGGAAAAAAAGCCAAAACUGCUGCCUAAACCUCAGUCCCUCCAAAAUCCUAAAACCCCUAUUUUCCUACCCACUAAACCGUAGGCAGUCCCGCGGCGGCGAUGGCGACCGGCGGGACAAGCCCCCGUCCCUCGACGACGACAUGGCCGACCUCGCCUCCCUCGACGUCUCGGCCGCCUCAUCUGCCGCUGCAGCCGGCGCCCCCUCUACCCGCUUCCGCCCCAGGACCAAGGGCAAGCCCAAGCCGAAGCCCGAGGUCCCCAAGCCCGAACCGCUGGCCGUGCUCAAAUCAGAGCCGGAGCCGGAUCCGGAACCAGAGCCGGUGCCAGGGCCCGUGGCCACCCCCGCGCCGCCGCCGGAGGAUGAUCGCGUGGACGCUAUGGACGAGGACGUGGCGGGGGACGCUACUAGUCCUGGAGAGGUGCCGGCGGCGGCGGCGGAGGAGGAGGACUUCGUGGUGCGCGAGAUCGAUGUGUACUUCACUCCCAAGCCCUUCGACGACGACACCAAGGGAUCUACGUGAUCGAGUCGUGGACGAAGGGCUGGUCCGACUUGCAUAUGGGAUGGACUAAGGCCAACAUGUCAACAACACAAGACGGACCAAACCAAAAAUUUAGCUGUACAUUAUGCAAUAUCCCCUGAGGCCAUGUUGGCGGCCAUAUGAGUUAAAUGAGAUAUGUGAAGAGGUUCGCGUGAAGCCAUUGAGAUCAGAAGUUGAAGUUGAUUUGAGUGUCAAUAAACAGAGUGAAAAUUAUGACCAAGAGGCACCUUUGGGACUGACAAAACAGACACUUUCAUCAUCAAAGGCAGAAGAUGUUUCUGAUUAUGCGGUUGGAGUUCUUAAAGGCAACUUGGUUCAUUUGAAUCAUAUUGAUGCUGUGGUGCAACUGCGACCAUCAAUGCACAUGUGAUUUCUGGUCGAGCAUAUAAUAGGCAGGCUUUACAAUCUCGGGAAAUGAAUGGUGGUGCUAGUGGCUCAAAGGCUCCAUCUCGUAAGGGAGAUGAGCGCCCAGAAGAUUCCAAGGAUCACACAGAAGAUUCUGAGCCAUGGAUUUCUCUCACGUACCAACCAGCAGGGAGUAAUAUUGCAACCAAGUACCAUAACAAGAUGAUAUCAAAUGAGGGUGUUCCUAUUGAUUUCACAAUGAGAAAGUGAAUGUUUUCAUUCAUUGGUUUUCAUCUUGUCUUCUAAAAAGUGGUUCAGUUAUACUGCAGCUCUGUUUGUGAUCAUUUGCUUUUCUUAAAUGGAUAUAUGUACACACCAGAACACAUAGUACAUAAUUAAUAUAAUAUUAGAUUGGAAGCCUCACUGAAACUGUAGUAGUAUUGAAGUAUCUUUCGAAUGUUCACAUGUCCAGUUUAAAUUUUCAUAAAUGUUGAUAAUGAAAGUACUAGGUGUAUGGCAAGAUUUCAUUUUUGGGAGGGUCGAGGGUAACUUUCUGAAAAAAAUAGUAGAUUUGCCAAUAUUGAACUUAACCAGAUUACAUCAAAAUUGGCAUAAACUAGAAACUGAUAUGGCCUUUAGUUGUAACAGUGGAGUGCUGGAUUAUAUUUAUUGUUUGCAACAAAUUUGUCUAAAUGGAUCCAAUAAGAUUAUUUUACUAUAUCGCAUAAAACAUGCUGCUUGUUUGCAGUUUUUUUGGUUCCUGUUUGCUUGUCAGUUUAUUUAGCAAGAUACGAUUGCUGUUGUGGUGUCAUAUUCUGUUGUAAAAGACAGGCUGAAAGAUGGCAUGAAACCUAUUGCCUAAAUAACAGUAAGCUGGCAUUAAGAUGGGUUAGUCGGGUAAUGCGCAAUCAAGCACUAGGCAGAAGGGUGGUGCCUUGUGUGGAGGCUGGUAGGUGACUGCCUUAUAGACCAGCGGUCACAUUGGCUGGUUUGAAUACCGACUUCCCUAGCUAGGACCACUUCGGAGCACUUGAUUGUCAAUAUAUGAAUAGGAAAAACAUGUGAUUGUAUUUUUUGAAUCCUAUGAAGUUAGCUCAGGAAUUGUUCACCUGAGUGUUUGAUUUGGCACAUAAUGGCCAAAAAAGAACAUACAGUUUUGAGAUUUGUAGUUUCCAUAGGUAUGGAUCAAGAGUGUUGAUUCCAAAGCUUUCAAUGUUCAUAAUAUUGAGAUAGCGAGACUGCAAAUAGUGCAUAUUCUAUGUAGGCAUGGUAUAAAAAAAACGAAAUUAUUUCUUCCAAAACAGGUUUGGUGUAGACUAGAUACUGAUCUUAACGAGAGCUGAAAGCAGAGAAUAUCUGAGUAAAAAAAAUAGUAAUACUAUCUUAGUUUCAUGUGCUCUAGAUAAUUAAACAUGACAAAAGUCUCUCUUGGCUGCAUCCUCCCAGUUCAUAUUGGUUGUAACUAAAAGAAAUAUCAUGAAACAGUUUACUAGAACUGCAAUAUCUACAUUUGAGUAUUUAAAUUUAUUUCGUUGGCAUCUUAUGUUUCCUCAUUUGCUUGUUGUUAUCUUUGUUAGGGGUAAUGUGAAGUUUCAUCAAACAAUCGUCCUUUUUACCUACUUUGCCAGCACAACUGAUCCUGUCUUAUUGUUCAGGACUGAUUAUGUAAUGUCCUUGUGUCCUGGAGCCUCAACUAGCAGCAAGCAUAUUAACAAAUGCCAAGCAAUAAGGGAGACGCUUUUGCUUCCACUUGAAGAACGCCUGAAAAAAUGGUUUACUGAGGUUUCAGAAGUAAACCAAUUUGAUGCUCUGAAGCACCUUGCUCCUACCUAUUCAGAGGAAGAAAUCCUGAAAGUCCUUCCAGACUAUGCAUAUUUGGUGCGUGGUUUAUGGGUCUGCAAAAGUUCUUUGUUGUUUGAUGAUGGAUAUGCUUCCAAAAGAGACAGAAUUCUUCUUGAAUUUACAAAAAAGGGGUCCAUCCCUGAGAAAAUUCUACAAGUAUGGAUCAAACCAGAUGACCUUAGGAGGAAGAGGAUACUGUUCCCAUUAUGUAAAAGACGUCGAGUUUUGAAGGACUAUAAAUUUAUAUCCUCAGAUUUGUCCUUUCUAAAACGCUAUCCUCACAUAGUCAAUGAACAAGAGUGCUUGGUCCACUCAUGGGAUGACUAUACGUGAGCCUCUUGAAAUGUAAAGUGGCACGGAAUACCAGGAAUUGAACCAGACCUAAUGUUUUUUCUAAAGGGCCUAAUCCAAAUACAAGCAUAGGGUAGGGAUGGCCCUGCUCAAGGAAGUGAUGACCAUGUGCUGUCUGUUUUGGGUA